This 96-nucleotide ribosomal RNA is filed under the name Vibrio splendidus. RNAcentral's name for it is "partial 16S ribosomal RNA". The stretch from base 1 to 85 matches the Rfam family "Bacterial small subunit ribosomal RNA", at positions 1449 to 1533 of the family's 1533-position model. Lineage: Bacteria; Pseudomonadati; Pseudomonadota; Gammaproteobacteria; Vibrionales; Vibrionaceae. The record is from RNAcentral.
GACGCUCACCACUUUGUGGUUCAUGACUGGGGUGAAGUCGUAACAAGGUAGCCCUAGGGGAACCUGGGGCUGGAUCACCUCCUUAUACGAAGAUAC